This is an unclassified non-coding RNA of Coturnix japonica (Japanese quail), 173 nucleotides long. The record is from Ensembl. NCBI's taxonomy places the organism in Eukaryota, Metazoa, Chordata, Aves, Galliformes, Phasianidae.
AAGAAGCCUGAAUAUUGUAGUAUUCUAGCUUCAGAGAAGAUAAAACAUUAGUAAAGAAAAAGCAACCUUCUUCUACCUUGACCCCCUGGUGUGCUUUAACUGUGACCUCAAGAAGCCAUAUCUAGAUAGGAGAGGGAGUUCAGUUUCCUAGGCCCAUUCAAUUGUAAGCUCCU